This 761-nucleotide unclassified non-coding RNA is filed under the name Hevea brasiliensis (rubber tree). The record is from RNAcentral. Lineage: Eukaryota; Viridiplantae; Streptophyta; Magnoliopsida; Malpighiales; Euphorbiaceae.
AAAACUACUUCCCUCCACGUUAUCUUAGGCUUCCCCUUUCCCAUCUCACUCUUUCCCCAAUUAACUUGUCACACUUUCAUACCGGUAGUUUGUGUUCUAAGAGGAGUUUGAACAUGAUGAACCUGUAGGCUUGAUUGCAUGAUACAUUAUUUACCUGUCACUUGCAGGAAGGCCUGUGAGAUGGAUGGCGCGUACGUUUGAAAGGGGGUACGUCCAAGCAAGGAAAAAAAAAUUAAACGAAAGCAGUUGCCAGCCCGAGUUGCCAUGCAAGAAGACAAUAGCAGCUUGAAUAUGGAAGGGUAAAACAGUUCAACUAAUGGGUUAUUUCUUUCCCAUGGAAUGCCUAGGAGGAUCAUCUUAUUAAUUUAUGACAGGGAAACUAGAUUCCCAUGCAUGAGGAAAAGGGAGACCAAUAUCUACCAAUAAAAGUUGACCCCACAUUUCCCUUUUUAAAUUCAAUUGAACACUAACCAGAUAUAGAGAUCUUUACUUGUACAUUAGAUAGAUACAACCGCAGUAAGUUCUCCAUUUAUCAUGAAGCUAGAAAAGAGAUGUUCUAGAGAUGCUGCCUGAGUUCCUACAAGCAAAAUUUAACCCCAGCACUUCAUAUCUCUUAGCAAAGCUAGCAAUCAAAAGUUGUGGUUCAAAGUCAUGUUGAUAGCAGGCCUAUCAUGUUUGACAUGCACAGGUCAGCAUGAAUGCUUCCUUUGUAGUAGAGUUAUGCAGCUCAAGGUGACCUUACAAUAUUACAAACAUCAGAG